Molecule: transfer RNA, 70 nt
Filed under: Hyphessobrycon pulchripinnis
Lineage: Eukaryota; Metazoa; Chordata; Actinopteri; Characiformes; Acestrorhamphidae
Description: tRNA-Pro
Rfam family: tRNA
About the family: Transfer RNA (tRNA) molecules are approximately 80 nucleotides in length. Their secondary structure includes four short double-helical elements and three loops (D, anti-codon, and T loops).
Source: RNAcentral
CAGGAAAUAGUUUAAUUUAGAAUACUACCUUUGGGAGGUAGUGGUGGAAGUUAAAAUCUUUCUUUUCUGG